GUAGGUGGCAAGCGUUGUCCGGAAUUAUUGGGCGUAAAGCGCGCGCAGGCGGUUCUUUAAGUCUGAUGCGAAAGCCCACGGCUCAACCGUGGAGGGUCAUUGGAAACUGGAGAACUUGAGUACAGAAGAGGAAAGCGGAAUUCCACGUGUAGCGGUGAAAUGCGUAGAGAUGUGGAGGAACACCAGUGGCGAAGGCGGCUUUCUGGUCUGUAACUGACGCUGAGGCGCGAAAGCGUGGGGAGCAAACAGGAUUAGAUACCCUGGUAGUCCACGCCGUAAACGAUGAGUGCUAAGUGUUAGGGGGGUUUUACCGCCCCCCUUAGUGCUGCAGCUAACGCAUUAAGCACUCCGCCUGGGAGUACGGCCGCAAGGCUG
RNAcentral lists this ribosomal RNA (375 nucleotides) under uncultured organism. Its description in RNAcentral is "partial 16S ribosomal RNA". It matches the Rfam family "Bacterial small subunit ribosomal RNA", at positions 527 to 896 of the family's 1533-position model. The record is from RNAcentral.